CAGUGCCACGGUAAUACGAAGGGGGCUAGCGUUGCUCGGAAUCACUGGGCGUAAAGGGUGCGUAGGCGGGUCUUUAAGUCAGGGGUGAAAUCCUGGAGCUCAACUCCAGAACUGCCUUUGAUACUGAAGAUCUUGAGUUCGGGAGAGGUGAGUGGAACUGCGAGUGUAGAGGUGAAAUGCGUAGAUAUCGGAAGGAACACCUGUGGCGAAAGCGGCUCACUGGACCAUUUCUGACGCUGAUGCACGAAAGCUAGGGGAGCAAACAGGAUUAGAUACCCGCGUAGUCCCUGUCUCUUAUACA
This 301-nucleotide ribosomal RNA is filed under the name uncultured bacterium. Its description in RNAcentral is "partial 16S ribosomal RNA". It matches the Rfam family "Bacterial small subunit ribosomal RNA", at positions 509 to 808 of the family's 1533-position model. The record is from RNAcentral.